AUUCAGCUGACGAGUCCCAAAUAGGACGAAAGGCACGUCCUGGAU
Non-coding RNA from Schistosoma rodhaini, 45 nucleotides. The record is from Rfam. Lineage: Eukaryota; Metazoa; Platyhelminthes; Trematoda; Strigeidida; Schistosomatidae.